ACGUACACUCCUACGGUAGGCAGCAGUGGGGAAUAUUGGACAAUGGGCGCAAGCCUGAUCCAGCCAUGCCGCGUGAGUGAUGAAGGCCCUAGGGUUGUAAAGCUCUUUCACAGGAGAAGAUAAUGACGGUAUCCGGAGAAGAAGCCCCGGCUAACUUCGUGCCAGCAGCCGCGGUAAUACGAAGGGGGCUAGCGUUGUUCGGAAUUACUGGGCGUAAAGCGCACGUAGGCGGAUCGAUCAGUCAGGGGUGAAAUCCCAGGGCUCAACCCUGGAACUGCCUUUGAUACUGUCGAUCUGGAGUAUGGAAGAGGUGAGUGGAAUUCCGAGUGUAGAGGUGAAAUUCGUAGAUAUUCGGAGGAACACCAGUGGCGAAGGCGGCUCACUGGUCCAUUACUGACGCUGAGGUGCGAAAGCGUGGGGAGCAAACAGGAUUAGAUACCCGUGUAGUCC
This 450-nucleotide ribosomal RNA is filed under the name uncultured organism. RNAcentral's name for it is "partial 16S ribosomal RNA". It matches the Rfam family "Bacterial small subunit ribosomal RNA", at positions 329 to 796 of the family's 1533-position model. The record is from RNAcentral.